Molecule: ribosomal RNA, 490 nt
Filed under: uncultured bacterium
Lineage: Bacteria
Description: partial 16S ribosomal RNA
Rfam family: Bacterial small subunit ribosomal RNA
Source: RNAcentral
AUUGAACGCUGGCGGCAGGCCUAACACAUGCAAGUCGAACGGUAACAGGAAACAGCUUGCUGUUUCGCUGACGAGUGGCGGACGGGUGAGUAAUGUCUGGGAAACUGCCUGAUGGAGGGGGAUAACUACUGGAAACGGUAGCUAACACCGCAUAACGUCGCAAGACCAAAGAGGGGGACCCUCGGGCCUCUUGCCAUCGGAUGUGCCCAGAUGGGAUUAGCUUGUUGGUGGGGUAACGGCUCACCAAGGCGACGAUCCCUAGCUGGUCUGAGAGGAUGACCAGCCACACUGGAACUGAGACACGGUCCAGACUCCUACGGGAGGCAGCAGUGGGGAAUAUUGCACAAUGGGCGCAAGCCUGAUGCAGCCAUGCCGCGUGUAUGAAGAAGGCCUUCGGGUUGUAAAGUACUUUCAGCGGGGAGGAAGGGAGUAAAGUUAAUACCUUUGCUCAUUGACGUUACCCGCAGAAGAAGCACCGGCUAACUCCGUG